This 2905-nucleotide ribosomal RNA is filed under the name Enterobacter asburiae. Its description in RNAcentral is "23S ribosomal RNA". It matches the Rfam family "Bacterial large subunit ribosomal RNA". The record is from RNAcentral. Lineage: Bacteria; Pseudomonadati; Pseudomonadota; Gammaproteobacteria; Enterobacterales; Enterobacteriaceae.
GGUUAAGCGACUAAGCGUACACGGUGGAUGCCCUGGCAGUCAGAGGCGAUGAAGGACGUGCUAAUCUGCGAAAAGCGCCGGCGAGGUGAUAUGAACCUUUGACCCGGCGAUGUCCGAAUGGGGAAACCCAGUGCAAUUCGUUGCACUAUCGUUAACUGAAUACAUAGGUUAACGAGGCGAACCGGGGGAACUGAAACAUCUAAGUACCCCGAGGAAAAGAAAUCAACCGAGAUUCCCCCAGUAGCGGCGAGCGAACGGGGAGCAGCCCAGAGUCUGAAUCAGCUUGUGUGUUAGUGGAAGCGUCUGGAAAGUCGCACGGUACAGGGUGACAGUCCCGUACACGAAAGCACACAGGUUGUGAACUCGAAGAGUAGGGCGGGACACGUGGUAUCCUGUCUGAAUAUGGGGGGACCAUCCUCCAAGGCUAAAUACUCCUGACUGACCGAUAGUGAACCAGUACCGUGAGGGAAAGGCGAAAAGAACCCCGGCGAGGGGAGUGAAAAAGAACCUGAAACCGUGUACGUACAAGCAGUGGGAGCACCUUCGUGGUGUGACUGCGUACCUUUUGUAUAAUGGGUCAGCGACUUAUAUUCUGUAGCAAGGUUAACCGUAUAGGGGAGCCGAAGGGAAACCGAGUCUUAACUGGGCGUUAAGUUGCAGGGUAUAGACCCGAAACCCGGUGAUCUAGCCAUGGGCAGGUUGAAGGUUGGGUAACACUAACUGGAGGACCGAACCGACUAAUGUUGAAAAAUUAGCGGAUGACUUGUGGCUGGGGGUGAAAGGCCAAUCAAACCGGGAGAUAGCUGGUUCUCCCCGAAAGCUAUUUAGGUAGCGCCUCGUGAACUCAUCUUCGGGGGUAGAGCACUGUUUCGGCUAGGGGGCCAUCCCGGCUUACCAACCCGAUGCAAACUACGAAUACCGAAGAAUGUUAUCACGGGAGACACACGGCGGGUGCUAACGUCCGUCGUGAAGAGGGAAACAACCCAGACCGCCAGCUAAGGUCCCAAAGUCAUGGUUAAGUGGGAAACGAUGUGGGAAGGCACAGACAGCCAGGAUGUUGGCUUAGAAGCAGCCAUCAUUUAAAGAAAGCGUAAUAGCUCACUGGUCGAGUCGGCCUGCGCGGAAGAUGUAACGGGGCUAAACCAUGCACCGAAGCUGCGGCAGCGACACUAUGUGUUGUUGGGUAGGGGAGCGUUCUGUAAGCCGUUGAAGGUGUGCUGUGAGGCAUGCUGGAGGUAUCAGAAGUGCGAAUGCUGACAUAAGUAACGAUAAAGCGGGUGAAAAGCCCGCUCGCCGGAAGACCAAGGGUUCCUGUCCAACGUUAAUCGGGGCAGGGUGAGUCGACCCCUAAGGCGAGGCCGAAAGGCGUAGUCGAUGGGAAACAGGUUAAUAUUCCUGUACUUGGUGUUACUGCGAAGGGGGGACGGAGAAGGCUAUGUUAGCCGGGCGACGGUUGUCCCGGUUUAAGCAUGUAGGCGGAACGAUUAGGUAAAUCCGGUCGUUUAUUAACGCUGAGGUGUGAUGACGAGGCACUACGGUGCUGAAGUAACAAAUGCCCUGCUUCCAGGAAAAGCCUCUAAGCAUCAGGUAACAUCAAAUCGUACCCCAAACCGACACAGGUGGUCAGGUAGAGAAUACCAAGGCGCUUGAGAGAACUCGGGUGAAGGAACUAGGCAAAAUGGUGCCGUAACUUCGGGAGAAGGCACGCUGAUAUGUAGGUGAAGCCCCUGCGGGUGGAGCUGAAAUCAGUCGAAGAUACCAGCUGGCUGCAACUGUUUAUUAAAAACACAGCACUGUGCAAACACGAAAGUGGACGUAUACGGUGUGACGCCUGCCCGGUGCCGGAAGGUUAAUUGAUGGGGUUAGCGGUAACGCGAAGCUCUUGAUCGAAGCCCCGGUAAACGGCGGCCGUAACUAUAACGGUCCUAAGGUAGCGAAAUUCCUUGUCGGGUAAGUUCCGACCUGCACGAAUGGCGUAAUGAUGGCCAGGCUGUCUCCACCCGAGACUCAGUGAAAUUGAACUCGCUGUGAAGAUGCAGUGUACCCGCGGCAAGACGGAAAGACCCCGUGAACCUUUACUAUAGCUUGACACUGAACACUGGUCCUUGAUGUGUAGGAUAGGUGGGAGGCUUUGAAGCGUGGACGCCAGUCUGCGUGGAGCCAACCUUGAAAUACCACCCUUUAAUGGCUGGUGUUCUAACGUAGACCCGUAAUCCGGGUUGCGGACAGUGUCUGGUGGGUAGUUUGACUGGGGCGGUCUCCUCCCAAAGAGUAACGGAGGAGCACGAAGGUUAGCUAAUCCUGGUCGGACAUCAGGAGGUUAGUGCAAUGGCAUAAGCUAGCUUGACUGCGAGAGUGACGGCUCGAGCAGGUGCGAAAGCAGGUCAUAGUGAUCCGGUGGUUCUGAAUGGAAGGGCCAUCGCUCAACGGAUAAAAGGUACUCCGGGGAUAACAGGCUGAUACCGCCCAAGAGUUCAUAUCGACGGCGGUGUUUGGCACCUCGAUGUCGGCUCAUCACAUCCUGGGGCUGAAGUAGGUCCCAAGGGUAUGGCUGUUCGCCAUUUAAAGUGGUACGCGAGCUGGGUUUAGAACGUCGUGAGACAGUUCGGUCCCUAUCUGCCGUGGGCGCUGGAGAAUUGAGGGGGGCUGCUCCUAGUACGAGAGGACCGGAGUGGACGCAUCACUGGUGUUCGGGUUGUCAUGCCAAUGGCACUGCCCGGUAGCUAAAUGCGGAAAAGAUAAGUGCUGAAAGCAUCUAAGCACGAAACUUGCCCCGAGAUGAGUUCUCCCUGACCCUUUAAGGGUCCUGAAGGAACGUUGAAGACUACGACGUUGAUAGGUCGGGUGUGUAAGCGCAGCGAUGCGUUGAGCUAACCGAUACUAAUGAACCGUGAGGCUUAACCUU